ACCAUAUGAAAUAUGAGACAGACAACAGAGAGGUGAGCUGGACAUGGCCAGUGAGCAGCCAGCAUGUGGAAACCACAGCCCAGCAGGUGUGGAGUGACUGCUAUCACUGACUUUGGAAGAACUCCUGUUCUAAACUCAGUAUGCAGAAGCAAACCCCAACAGCACACAGAGGCAACAUUCCUGUGUGACACCCCCAUCAUCAAGCCCAGAUGCUCUGGUGGAGCGCAGAUGUCCCACAGAGGUCCAAUCUAAUGCACUGAAGUGACAGAGAAUCUGCUGCAUCCUCAGCAGUGUUAACCAGCAGGUACACGAGCUGCCUGGCAGAGGAGCAGACAGAACUCUCCUGGGACUGACCGCAGUGUCACUUUCCUUGAUGGGUCAUUGAGGUUUGGGUUCUGCCCUCUUCACGCAUCUCCUCUGGCUGCAGGUCAGAGUGUGACUCUACAGGACAGACUAUUUUGGAACAUUUGUAACAGUGAGCACACUGCGCUGCUAGGCACGCAAAGCACGGCCUGACUCUGGUUUGGACCUGACCCUAAAAUCCCCCAGAAUCUAAGUAAACGCUGCACCACGCGUCCCCUUCUGUGUGGCUCUUUUUGAAGGACUCGGAAUGCACACGGGGGACAGCAGCUUUGGCUGCAGCUUCCCCCCAGCUCAAGACUACGGGUGCUCUUUUCAUGCAUGUCUUGCAGACUCAUUUCUUCCCCCAUCUGUUGAUUUUUUUUCUUCAUUAUGUGUUAGCAAUCAAUGACUAUCCCAUGGCACGUUCCUUUGCAGGGCUCUGAACACAGCAUUUCUUGCCAAGGGAGCAUUCCACACGAGUGGCUUCUGCUCACGCUGUCUGUUGCUGCAAGUGGGACUUUCAUGCCAGCCUAACCCUAAUGCGAUGACUAUCACAUUAGCAGCUUUACAUAUUCAUUGAUUUGCAGAAGUGUUUUGUAUUGCCUUAAGCUCCAAAACCUUUGUGACAACGCAUUACAAACAACAGACAAAGGAAAGAUCUUAAGAGGGGCUACAAAUUUCUUGUUCUGCUAUCUUAUCUGGCAGAAUAGUACCUCUCCAAGUUUAUCUUGUCUAGUCUACAACAAAGCCUUGUUUUUUAUGAAAUGUCACACUGCUGAAGGAUCUAAUUUUUCUUUGAUACAAUAGCCGACGUACAAUAACUGAAUCUCAAAAAGCACAACGUGAGUAAACACUCUGUAAUGUAUCUAAACACAGCAGCUAUCCAGUUAUCCUAGCACUUUAUUUCAAUUUAGACCAAGGGACAAUUUUAAAAGAUUUGCUCCCAAGUACGCAAUUCAGAAAAAUACGACUUACUACUCAGAGCAGUACUUUGAAUCCACGCUGUUAGUCGUCUUAGCUGAAAUUCAUCCUUGAUGAUAUCCAAAGGUCCAAUAACAUUUUUCAUGGAAGAAUCCCUUAUUUGUAGAACAUAAUAAAACCGUUCAGCUGCAACUCUGGGCCGCUGAGAACUGCAGAAUGAGGUCUUCCUUAUGUCACGGGAUGUUUUUCAGACACGUUGUUACCUGAGAAAUAUCAAAAUGCACUGGUUAAAUAUAAUAGUAUCUUUGAUGUGUGUUAGUAAGACAAAAUGUAAGGCUGUUUAUCGCUAACGAGUUGGGUGCUCAUUAGUGUGCUCCAUCAGGAAACACUGACAGCAAAAGGCAAAAGGAGAAGUUCAGUGUUAAAUCCACACACGGCACAUUCCAGCUAUUAUAGCCUGUGCUAUAAGAGGAGAGAACUGUUGCAUGCAACUACUUUAAAAGUAUGUAUCAGGGCAAGAAAGAGAAGCAUUUGUUUGAUUCAUUAUAUACUUUUUUUCAAUAAAACUCACUUCCAAAUAAUGCUUUUCUUUCACAUUGUGCUUUUCAUUCCUAUCUCACAAAGCACUCCAGAAGAGGUCAGGAUCGUUUUACAAAACACAAACAUGAAGUGAGGGACCUCUCUGAUGUCAGUGAGUAACACAGCACAGUCCCCAGCUCUGCUGACUGCUAGUCAUAGGAACGAGGGAUUACCAAGGGCAUCUUGUGUCAUCAAAUCCAGCUUCUUACUCUUCAAAUCAAUUUUGCUAUAAUAAUCUCAUGCAAGACACUUUCUUUGGAGUGCCUGAUCUCUUAUAUAAGCUCCUAAAAUGCUCUUUCAAAAUCAUCAUCUCUUGUAUAUCCUCACCCAUCCUGACCCUGUUGCGGGACUCUCUAGGUAAUGCCAAGGCAUUACACGUCAAUGAUGAGGGAUCACUACUCUGACUUCAGCUAUCACUGACACUGGAGUACG
This 2274-nucleotide long non-coding RNA is filed under the name Gallus gallus (chicken). The record is from RNAcentral. Lineage: Eukaryota; Metazoa; Chordata; Aves; Galliformes; Phasianidae.